Molecule: ribosomal RNA, 309 nt
Filed under: uncultured bacterium
Lineage: Bacteria
Description: partial 16S ribosomal RNA
Rfam family: Bacterial small subunit ribosomal RNA
Source: RNAcentral
AGAGACAGCAGUCGCCGCGGUAAUGCGUAGGGGGCAAGCGUUAUCCGGAAUAACUGGGCGUAAAGGGUGCGCAGGUGGUUUAACAAGUUAGUGGUGAAAGGCAUAGGCUCAACCAAUGUAAGCCAUUAAAACUGUUUAACUUGAGUGCAGGAGAGGAAAGUGGAAUUCCCAGUGUAGCGGUGAAAUGCGUAGAUAUUAGGAGGAAUACCAGUGGCGAAGGCGACUUUCUGGACUGCAACUGACACUGAGGCACGAAAGCGUGGGGAGCAAACAGGAUUAGAUACCCCAGUAGUCCCUGUCUCUUAUACA